CACGUAGGGGGCAAGCGUUGUCCGGAUUUAUUGGGCGUAAAGGGCUCGUAGGCGGUCUGUUGCGUCGGGAGUGAAAACUCAGGGCUUAACCCUAAGCCUGCUUCCGAUACGGGCAGACUAGAGGUAUGCAGGGGAGAACGGAAUUCCUGGUGUAGCGGUGAAAUGCGCAGAUAUCAGGAGGAACACCGGUGGCGAAGGCGGUUCUCUGGGCAUUACCUGACGCUGAGGAGCGAAAGUGUGGGGAGCGAACAGG
This 253-nucleotide ribosomal RNA is filed under the name uncultured bacterium. RNAcentral describes it as "partial 16S ribosomal RNA". It matches the Rfam family "Bacterial small subunit ribosomal RNA", at positions 524 to 776 of the family's 1533-position model. The record is from RNAcentral.